This 504-nucleotide ribosomal RNA is filed under the name uncultured bacterium. RNAcentral describes it as "bacterial SSU rRNA". It matches the Rfam family "Bacterial small subunit ribosomal RNA", at positions 28 to 526 of the family's 1533-position model. The record is from RNAcentral.
GACGAACGCUGGCGGCGUGCUUAACACAUGCAAGUCGAACGAAGAUGCUCUUUGUGAAGCCCUCGGGUGGAACUGUGAGUAGACUGAGUGGCGGACGGGUGAGUAACGCGUGAGCAACCUGCCCUUCAGAGGGGGACAACAGCUGGAAACGGCUGCUAAUACCGCAUAAGACCACAGCACCGCAUGGUGCAGGGGUAAAAGGAUUUAUUCACUGAAGGAUGGGCUCGCGUCCCAUUAGAUAGUUGGUGAGGUAGAAGCUCACCAAGUCGACGAUGGGUAGCCGACCUGAGAGGGUGAUCGGCCACACUGGAACUGAGACACGGUCCAGACUCCUACGGGAGGCAGCAGUGGGGAAUAUUGGGCAAUGGGCGAAAGCCUGACCCAGCAACGCCGCGUGAAGGAAGAAGGCCUUCGGGUUGUAAACUUCUGUCCUGUGGGACGAAAAAAUGACGGUACCACAGGAGGAAGCCCCGGCUAACUACGUGCCAGCCGCCGCAGUAACAC